AGGGGUAUAGCUCAAGUGGUAGAGCACAUGCUUAGCCAUGCGCAAGAUCCUGGGUUCAAUCCCCAGUACCUCCU
This 74-nucleotide transfer RNA is filed under the name Camelus bactrianus (Bactrian camel). It matches the Rfam family "tRNA". From Rfam's summary of the family: Transfer RNA (tRNA) molecules are approximately 80 nucleotides in length. Their secondary structure includes four short double-helical elements and three loops (D, anti-codon, and T loops). Lineage: Eukaryota; Metazoa; Chordata; Mammalia; Artiodactyla; Camelidae. RNAcentral also lists the same sequence under 2 other names. The record is from Rfam by way of RNAcentral.